GGGGUUGUGGCUCAUUGGUAGAGCGCUUACCUCACGUGUGUGAGGCACUGAGUUCCAUCCUCAGCACCA
RNAcentral lists this transfer RNA (69 nucleotides) under Ictidomys tridecemlineatus (thirteen-lined ground squirrel). RNAcentral's name for it is "Spermophilus tridecemlineatus (thirteen-lined ground squirrel) tRNA". It matches the Rfam family "tRNA". From Rfam's summary of the family: Transfer RNA (tRNA) molecules are approximately 80 nucleotides in length. The record is from Rfam by way of RNAcentral. Lineage: Eukaryota; Metazoa; Chordata; Mammalia; Rodentia; Sciuridae.